This 253-nucleotide ribosomal RNA is filed under the name uncultured bacterium. RNAcentral's name for it is "partial 16S ribosomal RNA". It matches the Rfam family "Bacterial small subunit ribosomal RNA", at positions 524 to 776 of the family's 1533-position model. The record is from RNAcentral.
UACGGAGGGGGCAAGCGUUAUUCGGAAUUAUUGGGCGUAAAGGGCGCGUAGGCGGCUAGAUGUGUCAAAGGUGGAAUCCCUCGGCUCAACUGAGGAACUGCCUUUGAAACUGUCUGGCUUGAGGCCGGGAGAGGGUAGCGGAAUUCCCAGUGUAGCGGUGAAAUGCGUAGAUAUUGGGAGGAACACCAGUGGCGAAGGCGGCUACCUGGACCGGUUCUGACGCUGAGGCACGAAGGCCAGGGGAGCAAACGGG